GUUAUCCGUACAUAAAAAAAAUAAAAAUACAUUCACUGUGUAUAGUAUCGCUGUCACUCACUCACCAUCAAUGUUUUUUCACUCUGCUGCGCUUAUGGCGUGAUGAAAUUUUAAUCUGUACAAUAUUUCGGUAUAUUUAAUAUCAAAACCAUCAUUUGCUCCGGAGGGAUUCGCGAAACAGAAAGGCGCUACCGCAAUGAUGUUAUCUGCAUAGAAUCCAUCCGAAACAGGAGUAGUUGUUCCAAGGAUACCAUUCUAAGAGUUCAGGUUGAAAGUUAGUAAACAUUCGGCAGAAAUCCGACAUCGCGAAUAAGAUCUGAAUGCCGUCCACGUCGAAAUACCUGAUGAGGGUGGAGGCGGAUGGAGAUAGUGAUGAGGAAGUAAUUGGACCCGUGCCAACGAAGGCGGCGAGUGCUUGUAUUGGAAAAGGAAGGAUGAGCCACGCAGAAAUAGCCGUGACAGUAGCGAGAAGGACGAUGACGAUGAUGCUGAUCGAUAAGGAUGGAAAUAUGACAUAUUACUUCGCUAGUGACGGAUCCAUCCGGAGUCAGACUUGCAUUUGGAUCCAGGAUUGCAAUUUGAGCUUUUGGGGCUUUUCCAGAAGAUGAAGAGAUUCAAGAACCUGUAAUCAUCCGGUAAGAUAUCGCAUCUCUAGUUGAACGCCGGAACCACCGACAUGCGAAAACCGAUCUUUUUUCCAAAUCUAUACGUCGAACUUAACGUCGGGCAUAGUGCGCUGGACAGCGGAUCUGGUGUGCUACACAGCGCACCUAGGCCGACGUAGCUCCGACGCAUGGAUUUGGAGAAAAUCCGUUUUGGGUUUAUUCACAUAUUUCAUAACGCCGAAAAUGGCCAUUCUCGAUACCCACCCACCCCCUCGUAACGCAUUUUGUAUAAAUAUUUUGCGGAUUUUGUAUGAGCUGUAACAUCCUUACGACACCCACCCACCCCCUAUAGCGUUAUGAAAUUUGUGAAUUGGCCCUUUCGUGUAUCUAAAAUUCCGGUUUUCAACUGUGUGAAUAAUAUUUGAGAAUUGUAAUUUAAAAAUAAAUCUAUGAUUUUAAGCAUUGUAACACUUUCUCGUAUAUUUGUUAAUUAUAAACGAAUGGUGCAAUUUUA
Aedes aegypti (yellow fever mosquito) is the source of this 1119-nucleotide long non-coding RNA. RefSeq lists it as uncharacterized. The record is from RefSeq and is a predicted model, not a curated record. NCBI's taxonomy places the organism in Eukaryota, Metazoa, Arthropoda, Insecta, Diptera, Culicidae. The transcript is spliced from 2 exons.